Molecule: microRNA precursor, 130 nt
Filed under: Helianthus ciliaris
Lineage: Eukaryota; Viridiplantae; Streptophyta; Magnoliopsida; Asterales; Asteraceae
Description: miR156a stem-loop (hci-MIR156a)
Gene: hci-MIR156a
Rfam family: mir-156 microRNA precursor family (bases 21-110)
About the family: This family represents the plant microRNA (miRNA) precursor mir-156. Animal miRNAs are transcribed as ~70nt precursors and subsequently processed by the Dicer enzyme to give a ~22nt product.
Source: miRBase by way of RNAcentral
AAAGAGGGUUUGGUUGAGAACUGACAGAAGAGAGUGAGUACACGCAGGCAAUUGUAUAGUGGACUAUACUCUUGUUUGAGUUAUGCGUGUGCUCACUUCUCUUCCGUCAGCCCUUGCUCUUUUUUUUCUC